AAACUUGAGAGUUUGAUCCUGGCUCAGAACGAACGCUGGCGGCAGGCUUAACACAUGCAAGUCGAGCGCCCCGCAAGGGGAGCGGCAGACGGGUGAGUAACGCGUGGGAAUCUACCUAUCUCUACGGAACAACUCCGGGAAACUGGAGCUAAUACCGUAUACGCCCUUCGGGGGAAAGAUUUAUCGGAGAUAGAUGAGCCCGCGUUGGAUUAGCUAGUUGGUGGGGUAAAGGCCUACCAAGGCGACGAUCCAUAGCUGGUCUGAGAGGAUGAUCAGCCACACUGGGACUGAGACACGGCCCAGACUCCUACGGGAGGCAGCAGUAGGGAAUAUUGGACAAUGGGCGCAAGCCUGAUCCAGCCAUGCCGCGUGAGUGAUGAAGGCCCUAGGGUUGUAAAGCUCUUUCAACGGUGAAGAUAAUGACGGUAACCGUAGAAGAAGCCCCGGCUAACUUCGUGCCAGCAGCCGCGGUAAUACGAAGGGGGCUAGCGUUGUUCGG
RNAcentral lists this ribosomal RNA (499 nucleotides) under Alphaproteobacteria bacterium. RNAcentral's name for it is "bacterial SSU rRNA". It matches the Rfam family "Bacterial small subunit ribosomal RNA", at positions 1 to 548 of the family's 1533-position model. Lineage: Bacteria; Pseudomonadati; Pseudomonadota; Alphaproteobacteria. The record is from RNAcentral.